Molecule: regulatory RNA element, 113 nt
Organism: Paenibacillus antarcticus
Lineage: Bacteria; Bacillati; Bacillota; Bacilli; Caryophanales; Paenibacillaceae
Rfam family: epsC RNA
Source: Rfam
AGGUCAUGUCUACUAUACCUUUAUCACGGUAGACACUCGAUCAUGCUGUGGGUAUGAAUGUACCUUAGACGAUCAUCGUCGGAAGUGUGGUGUGAGGGUGGGUUUAAUGCCCC